Molecule: ribosomal RNA, 253 nt
Filed under: uncultured bacterium
Lineage: Bacteria
Description: partial 16S ribosomal RNA
Rfam family: Bacterial small subunit ribosomal RNA
Source: RNAcentral
UACAGAGGUCCCAAGCGUUGUUCGGAUUCAUUGGGCGUAAAGGGUGCGUAGGCGGCUCGGUAAGUCGGGUGUGAAAUCUCGGAGCUUAACUCCGAAACUGCAUUCGAUACUGCCGUGCUUGAGGACUGGAGAGGAGACUGGAAUUUACGGUGUAGCGGUGAAAUGCGUAGAUAUCGUAAGGAAGACCAGUGGCGAAGGCGGGUCUCUGGACAGUUCCUGACGCUGAGGCACGAAGGCCAGGGGAGCAAACGGG